GGAUAUUGGCUUGGAGAAAUGACGUCCCGCAGGUCAGUGCAUGGUGUGUGGCAGAGGCCAAAGCUCUGCUUUUCUGCUUCUGUGGGAACAGGGGGAGUUUGGCCAUGGGCUCCUCACUGUUGAAACGGAGGGUGGGCCCUUGAGCCGGGCUGGGGAAUCGCCUUGGCAGCAGGAUGGGCUUCGGUGUGGAUGCAUCUUCCAGUGCCCACCUCGGAGCUUGGGCUGAAGGCGGCAGCACAUGGGAAGAAGGGGCCUUUGGCCCAUCCGUGGCAUUGGGGAGUCUGGAGGGGAUGGGAAAGCAGAGAAGCAGCAGAUGCUCUGCAGCACGGGGAGGGCUUAAGAGCCUGACUUUGGGCAGUAGUCCUCUGCAAACUGCUGGGAAGCAGCAGGAAAUUCGGCCAGGGAAGCUCCUUUGGAAGCCCUGGCCGUGCUCCUUGUGCUUCCUCCCACUGAAUGCCUUUCUCUUCCAGAUGGCAUCAGCAGGACCUGUUGUGCAUGGGCUCCUGUCUCUGGGGAGCUCACCAGUUUGGCUGGAGGGGAAGAGGCAGGAGCUGAAUGUGAAAACCACACAGCUGUUGGCCAGGAAGGACCUCAUUCUCCAAUCAGUGUUUGAUGUCCUCCAAGAGAAUGGGAUCCAUGGACUGAAGAGAGAGGAAAUUCUGCAGUUGACACAGCACGCCAUUCAGAAAAUCAUGGAAAAUGGCGUCUGGAUGCCCAACUGGGCUCUGGAAACCAUGGGUGCCACUGUUGAUGCAGAGAGGACAUCCAAGAGUUAUGGUGGGAAAGGCUGGAAGAACCACUGGCUUUCUCCACUCUUUUCCACCGCAAAGCCUCCUGAGACACUCUUGCAGGUAUGGAAGGAGAAAUGGUGACUGUGGGUUCACUGCCUUGCCUUCUGGCUGCAGGAGCAAGUGUGCAGCAAUUUCCUUUGGCCCAGCUGUACUGCUCAGCCCACACUCUUCCCCACAUUACUGACAGCAGUGUUGGGAAGGUGAUGGGAUGACAAAUGCUGG
This 1013-nucleotide long non-coding RNA is filed under the name Phasianus colchicus (ring-necked pheasant). RNAcentral describes it as "lncRNA (ENSPCLG00000021375.1)". The record is from RNAcentral. Lineage: Eukaryota; Metazoa; Chordata; Aves; Galliformes; Phasianidae.